RNAcentral lists this ribosomal RNA (428 nucleotides) under uncultured bacterium. RNAcentral describes it as "bacterial SSU rRNA". It matches the Rfam family "Bacterial small subunit ribosomal RNA", at positions 354 to 796 of the family's 1533-position model. The record is from RNAcentral.
GUGGGGAAUAUUGGGCAAUGGGCGAAAGCCUGACCCAGCGACGCCGCGUGAGGGAAGAAGAUCUUCGGAUUGUAAACCUUAGUCAACAGGGAAGAAGAAAGUGACGGUACCUGUGGAGGAAGCCACGGCUAACUACGUGCCAGCAGCCGCGGUAAUACGUAGGUGGCGAGCGUUAUCCGGAAUUACUGGGUGUAAAGGGUGUGUAGGCGGGACUGCAAGUCUGAUGUGAAAACUAUGGGCUCAACCCAUAGCCUGCAUUGGAAACUGUGGUUCUUGAGAGUGGGAGAGGUAAACGGAAUUCCCGGUGUAGCGGUGAAAUGCGUAGAUAUCGGGAGGAACAUCGGUGGCGAAGGCGGUUUACUGGACCACAACUGACGCUGAGACACGAAAGCGUGGGGAGCAAACAGGAUUAGAUACCCUAGUAGUCC